UACGUAGGGUCCGAGCGUUGUCCGGAGUUACUGGGCGUAAAGCGCGCGCAGGCGGCGGUGCUGGCCCGGCGUGAAAGCCCCCGGCUCAACCGGGGAGAGUCGUCGGGGACCGCACCGCUUGAGGGCGGUAGGGGCUGGCGGAAUGCCUGGUGUAGUGGUGAAAUGCGUAGAGAUCAGGCAGAACACCUGGGGCGAAGGCGGCCAGCUGGGCCGUCCCUGACGCUGAGGCGCGAAGGCGUGGGGAGCAAACAGG
Molecule: ribosomal RNA, 253 nt
Filed under: uncultured bacterium
Lineage: Bacteria
Description: partial 16S ribosomal RNA
Rfam family: Bacterial small subunit ribosomal RNA
Source: RNAcentral